CGCGGCCUAUCAGCUUGUUGGUGAGGUAAUGGCUCACCAAGGCGUCGACGGGUAGCCGGCCUGAGAGGGUGACCGGCCACACUGGGACUGAGACACGGCCCAGACUCCUACGGGAGGCAGCAGUGGGGAAUAUUGCACAAUGGGCGAAAGCCUGAUGCAGCAACGCCGCGUGAGGGAUGACGGCCUUCGGGUUGUAAACCUCUUUCAGUAGGGAAGAAGCCCUUUUUGGGGGUGACGGUACUUGCAGAAGAAGCGCCGGCUAACUACGUGCCAGCAGCCGCGGUAAUACGUAGGGCGCAAGCGUUAUCCGGAAUUAUUGGGCGUAAAGAGCUCGUAGGCGGUUUGUCGCGUCUGCUGUGAAAGACCGGGGCUCAACUCCGGUUCUGCAGUGGGUACGGGCAGACUAGAGUGCAGUAGGGGAGACUGGAAUUCCUGGUGUAGCGGUGAAAUGCGCAGAUAUCAGGAGGAACACCGGUGGCGAAGGCGGAUCUCUGGGCCAUUACUGACGCUGAGGAGCGAAAGCGUGGGGAGCGAACAGGAUUAGAUACCCUGGUAGUCCACGCCGUAAACGUUGGGAACUAGGUGUUGGCGACAUUCCACGUCGUCGGUGCCGCAGCUAACGCAUUAAGCUCCCCGCCUGGGGAGUACGG
This 650-nucleotide ribosomal RNA is filed under the name uncultured Actinomycetes bacterium. RNAcentral's name for it is "bacterial SSU rRNA". It matches the Rfam family "Bacterial small subunit ribosomal RNA", at positions 232 to 885 of the family's 1533-position model. Lineage: Bacteria; Bacillati; Actinomycetota; Actinomycetes. The record is from RNAcentral.